RNAcentral lists this ribosomal RNA (214 nucleotides) under uncultured bacterium. RNAcentral's name for it is "partial 16S ribosomal RNA". It matches the Rfam family "Bacterial small subunit ribosomal RNA", at positions 120 to 334 of the family's 1533-position model. The record is from RNAcentral.
UGUAACUACCUUUAUCAGGGGGAUAGCCUCUCGAAAGAGGAGAUUAAGCCCGCAUAACAUCACGAUGCAGCAUUGUAAUGUGAUCAAAUAUUUAUAGGAUAGAGAUGGGCAUGCGGAACAUUAGCUAGUUGGUAAGGUAAUGGCUUACCAAGGCUACGAUGUUUAGGGGAUCUGAGAGGAUGACCCCCCACACUGGUACUGAGACACGGACCAG